GCGCAGCAGUUGCGAAAACUUGUCAAUGCACGAAAGUGUGAACGGGCUACCCCGAGUGCCGUCCGCUGAGGAUGGCUUUUCUCUGCUGUAAGAAGGCAGAGGAAUAAGGAGAGGGCAAGUCUGGUGUCAGCCGCCGCGGUAAUACCAGCUCUCCGAGUGGUAGGGAUGAUUAUUGGGCUUAAAGCGUCCGUAGCUGGCCUUUCAAGUCUCUUGUUAAAUCCAGCGAUUCAAUCGUUGGACUGCGGGAGAUACUGUUAGGCUAGGGGGCGGGAGAAGCCGACGGUAUUUCCGGGGUAGGGGUAAAAUCCUAUAAUCCUAGGGGGACCACCAGUGGCGAAGGCGUUCUGCGAGAACGGGCUCGACGGUGAGGGACGAAAGCCAGGGGCGCAAACGGGAUUAGAUACCCCGGUAGUCC
RNAcentral lists this ribosomal RNA (415 nucleotides) under uncultured crenarchaeote. Its description in RNAcentral is "partial 16S ribosomal RNA". It matches the Rfam family "Archaeal small subunit ribosomal RNA", at positions 330 to 747 of the family's 1478-position model. The record is from RNAcentral. Lineage: Archaea; Thermoproteati; Thermoproteota.